GUGUUURGUUUUGAGGGAGCGAGAGCUCUCUCGAAGGACCUUGGCAAGUGCAUAGGGAGUAUGGAAAGGUGAAGCUAGGAAGGGCACACGGUGGAUGCCUAGGCGCCAAGAGCCGACGAAGAGCCGACGAAGGACGGGGCGAAC
This 144-nucleotide unclassified non-coding RNA is filed under the name Alicyclobacillus acidocaldarius. Its description in RNAcentral is "partial contains 16S-23S ribosomal RNA intergenic spacer, and 23S ribosomal RNA". Lineage: Bacteria; Bacillati; Bacillota; Bacilli; Caryophanales; Alicyclobacillaceae. The record is from RNAcentral.